UUGGAAUGAGUUAUAAUUUGGAACGGAGAGAGUAGGUCAUAUCGAACACAUGCAUUACCUUAGAUUUUAUCAUCGAUACGUAUUGGUUGUUGAUGAAUCUGUGAUGAAGGUUUAGUUUGUAUAAACAAUUUUUCAAUAAAAUGCUUCUGAGCAAGAUUUUUCUCACUGGCAUUGUGUUCCCUUUUCUAGACCACGCAUCAUUUUUCAGUGGAGCCUCUUUGCCUGAAUUGACAAUCACAGUAAUAUGUUUCUGUGCGCGCAAUUUAACAAAGAAAAGAGCACGGUACUCCAGCUUUCCAUGUGCACAUGGUCUUAUAAUCAAAUGCAUUGUUAUUUGGUUAUACAUUUU
This 349-nucleotide long non-coding RNA is filed under the name Setaria viridis. Its description in RNAcentral is "long non-coding RNA (SVIR_LNC002072)". Lineage: Eukaryota; Viridiplantae; Streptophyta; Magnoliopsida; Poales; Poaceae. The record is from RNAcentral.